GACGAACGCUGGCGGCGUGCCUAAUACAUGCCAGUAGAACGCUGAAGAGAGGAGCUUACUCUUCUUGGAUGAGUUGCGAACGGGUGAGUAACGCGUAGGUAACCUGCCUUGUAGCGGGGGAUAACUAUUGGAAACGAUAGCUAAUACCGCAUAACAAUGGAUGACACAUGUCAUUUAUUUGAAAGGGGCAAUUGCUCCACUACAAGAUGGACCUGCGUUGUAUUAGCUAGUAGGUGAGGUAAUGGCUCACCUAGGCGACGAUACAUAGCCGACCUGAGAGGGUGAUCGGCCACACUGGGACUGAGACACGGCCCAGACUCCUACGGGAGGCAGCAGUAGGGAAUCUUCGGCAAUGGGGGCAACCCUGACCGAGCAACGCCGCGUGAGUGAAGAAGGUUUUCGGAUCGUAAAGCUCUGUUGUAAGUCAAGAACGGGUGUGAGAGUGGAAAGUUCACACUGUGACGGUAGCUUACCAGAAAGGGACGGCUAACUACG
This 495-nucleotide ribosomal RNA is filed under the name uncultured bacterium. RNAcentral's name for it is "partial 16S ribosomal RNA". It matches the Rfam family "Bacterial small subunit ribosomal RNA", at positions 28 to 505 of the family's 1533-position model. The record is from RNAcentral.